RNAcentral lists this unclassified non-coding RNA (1594 nucleotides) under uncultured fungus. Its description in RNAcentral is "sequence contains 18S rRNA gene, ITS1, 5.8S rRNA gene, ITS2, 28S rRNA gene". The stretch from base 547 to 1594 matches the Rfam family "Eukaryotic large subunit ribosomal RNA", at positions 1 to 961 of the family's 3401-position model. Lineage: Eukaryota; Fungi. The record is from RNAcentral.
GGAAGGAUCAUUAACAAAUCUAUGAGCGAAAGCUCAUCAACCUUUGUGAAUUGGGUUGUGUAGUUGGCAACAAUUAUGCAACUUCGUUGGGGUCCCUUUGUGAUAGAGAGAUUAUUUCGAAAGAUUUAAUUUUUCUAUUGCUUAUUAACAUUGUCUGAUUAUAGAUUGAAGUCGUAAGAUUUCAAAUAAAAAUACAACUUUUAACAAUGGAUCUCUAGGCUCUUGCAACGAUGAAGAACGCAGUGAAUUGCGAUAAGUAAUGUGACUUGCAUUCAUUUGUGAAUCAUCGAAUCUUUGAACGCACCUUGCACUUAAAUAGUCGAUAUUUAAGUAUACCUGUUUGAGUAUCAUAAACAUUUAUCCAAUUUAUUGGGAUUUGAGAGAUUAGUGUUACGGCGUUAUCUCUUUAAAUGUAGUUAGGAAGUCAAGGUAAAGAGCGCUUUAUUCUUGGAUGAGGAUAUUUACUCUAGUAGUAAACAAAUCAUUGGAGAGUGGAGAGGCGAUAUUUUGAAUCCUUCUGUCUCUUGCAGACAACUAGUACAAAUGUGAUCUCAAAUCAGGCAAGACUACCCGCCGAACUUAAGCAUAUCAGUAAGCGGAGGAAAAGAAACUAACAAGGAUUCCCUUAGUAAUGGCGAAUGAACCGGGAAAAGCUCAAAUUUAAAAUCUGGCUGGGUUACCAGUCCGAAUUGUAAUUUAUAGAAACGUUUUCUUGUAAAUUGAUUGGUAAAAGUUCCUUGGAAUAGGACAUCAUAGAGGGUGAGAAUCCCGUCUUUGACCUUUCAUAUUUACUUUAUGAUACGUUUUCAAAGAGUCGGGUUGCUUGGGAAUGCAGCUCAAAAUGGGUGGUAAAUUUCAUCUAAAGCUAAAUAUUGGCAAGAGACCGAUAGCGAACAAGUACCGUGAGGGAAAGAUGAAAAGAACUUUGAAAAGAGAGUUAAAUAGUACGUGAAAUUGUUAAAAGGGAAGCGCUUGAAAUCAGUAUUGUGUGCAAGAAUUCAGCCGUAAUUUAUAAAGAGUUGCGGUGUAUUUUCUUGUAUGCAAGUCAAUAUCAGUUUUGCUUGUUGGAAAAGGGGAAGAGGAAGGUGAUCAUUGGCUUCGGCUUUUGGUUUUAUAGACUCUUUCUUAUACAGCGAGUCGGGACUGAGGACUGCAAUACUUCUAGGUCUAUUUGUCCUAUAGUUGGAUCGAAAGCGGAGACUACAUGUAGACUAUGCUUUUGCUCUCACUAUACGGUCAAUAAGAUACUCCAGUAUUUAGGAUAUUGACGAAAUGGUUUUAAACGACCCGUCUUGAAACACGGACCAAGGAGUCCAACACAUAUGCGAGUAUUAGAGUGUUAAACUCUGAUGCGAAAUGAAAGUGAAUAAUGAGAGUCGCAAGACGCAUCAUUAACCCAUCUAGAAGUUUUAAUGGAUAGAUUGGAGUUUGAGCAUAUUUGUUGGGACCCGAAAGAUGGUGAACUAUGCCUGAAUAGGGUGAAGUCAGAGGAAACUCUGAUGGAGGCUCGUAGAGGUUCUGACGUGCAAAUCGAUCUUCAAAUUUGGGUAUAGGGGCGAAAGACUAAUCGAACCAUCUAGUAGCUGGUUCCCUC